Molecule: ribosomal RNA, 524 nt
Filed under: uncultured bacterium
Lineage: Bacteria
Description: bacterial SSU rRNA
Rfam family: Bacterial small subunit ribosomal RNA
Source: RNAcentral
UGGGGAAUCUUGGACAAUGGGGGCAACCCUGAUCCAGCCAUGCCGCGUGAGUGAUGAAGGCCUUAGGGUCGUAAAGCUCUUUCGCCUGUGAAGAUAAUGACGGUAGCAGGUAAAGAAACCCCGGCUAACUCCGUGCCAGCAGCCGCGGUAAUACGGAGGGGGUUAGCGUUGUUCCGAAUUACUGGGCGUAAAGCGCACGUAGGCGGACCAGAAAGUUGGGGGUGAAAUCCCGGGGGCUCAACCCCGGAACUGCCUCCAAAACUAUUGGUCUAGAGUUCGAGAGAGGUGAGUGGAAUUCCAAGUGUAGAGGUGAAAUUCGUAGAUAUUUGGAGGAACACCAGUGGCGAAGGCGGCUCACUGGCUCGAUACUGACGCUGAGGUGCGAAAGUGUGGGGAGCAAACAGGAUUAGAUACCCUGGUAGUCCACACCGUAAAACGAUGAAUGCCAGUCGUCGGGUAGCAUGCUAUUCGGUGACACACCUAACGGAUUAAGCAUUCCGCCUGGGGAGUACGGUCGCAAGAUU